Molecule: non-coding RNA, 1752 nt
Organism: Pelobates cultripes (western spadefoot toad)
Lineage: Eukaryota; Metazoa; Chordata; Amphibia; Anura; Pelobatidae
Source: the annotation of a GenBank genome assembly
CUUCAAAAAGCUUCUCCUGAUACUGCUGAUCACUUCCACCAAACCAAAAAUGCUGCAGACUGUUAGGCGAUAUCCCUCGCUCCUUCUCGUGUUUUGGGGGUAUUUACCAUGGUAUUGCUGACUGUACCAGUCCUCAGAUUGGGGUUAAUGCUAUCAUCUGUUGGCUCCCAGUGGCCCCUGUCUGACUCGCCCAUACGACUUGUUCCAGACUACAGAGUCAGAAAGGUACAGACUUCAUGUCUACACUUACUGGUAAGUGAAAACACAUAUAUUUAUAUAUAUAUAUAUAUAGGUGAUAUAUAGGUGUAUAUAUAUAUAUAUAUAUAUGUAUAUAUAUAUAUAUAUAUAUAUAUAUUAUAAGUAUGGUUAUGUGUCUAUAUGAGUAUAUACAUAUAUAUGUUUGUUUAUAUAUUUAUAUUAUAUAUAAGAGAUAUGUCCACGUUUAUUGGUUGAAUAUAAUUAAUAUAAAGUGAUCUGAAGUCUGCAUCACUCCAGCAUGAAUCAUUGUGCAAUUGGAAUAAUUACCAAGUCUAUCAGCAUACUGUAAUUGCAGACGUAUACGAUGCUAUUUACUCUAAAUAACUGGAUGGUAACUAGUCGAUGUCAGAAUAAUUAGAGUAAGUAUUCUAGGUUGACGUAUAACACAAAAAAAAAAAUCAUCAUUGCUUUUGAAACGAUGCAUUAUUCUAGAAUACUGGACUUUAGAAGACUUUAUAUAUAUAUAUAUAAAUAUAAUACAUAUGGAAUAUAAAUGCCUCCCAUAUUGAUACGUUGGCAAACGAAAGUAAAAGGGAAAAUAGAAUAAACUCCCAACCCAAAUUCAUCAAAAUGCUUUCAGCCUAAAUGCCUUUUGCAACGCUGCAUCCGUCGGCCAUAAGGCCUUACCUCUAGGCACACUAGGCUUAAGAAUAAGCGCUGUCUCCCACUACCCAAAACUAAAUUCCCUCACUUCCUGGUCCAAUGCCAAUCGAUACUAUACACCCUAUUAUGAUCUACCGCAGGCAUAGGCAACGAUCUGCACUCCAGAUGUUUAGGACUACACAUCCCAGGAUGCUUUGCCAGCAUUAUGGGUGUAAGAGCAUUAUGGGGGAUGUAGUCCACAACAUCUGGAGUGCCGAAAGUUGCAUAUCCCUCAUCUACCGUAUGUGACUGUUUUUCGAUAUGCAUAAGUUGUUUUUCUUCUGUAACGGUUUUAUUGAGACUAUGACCUGAGUCAAAAAUAAAGAAUUAAAAAAAAAAAAUCAUUAAAAUAAAUAUUUUUUGGGGAGAAAUUAAAUGCAAACUCUGUAAAUAUAUACCGAUUUAUUAUAUGAUUCAACGUUUGAGCAAAAACACAUACAUUGUAAUAUAAACUUAUAUAAUUAUUAAAUGGUUCCCUAUGUUACAAAUAUAUAGUUAUAUAGUUACAUAUGUAGGAAUAUACAUAUGUAAAUAUUAGUAUUUUUAUUGUAUGAAUACAGUUCAUUUAAUCAUUUCAUGUAUAUUUUAUCUUUUAUAUGACUAGAUACAGUGUACGCAUGGAAGUGAGCGUGUGUUAGAUUAUUAAACGUGUUAUAUUAUGAAAUAUAUUAAUGGAAACAUUAAAAUAUACAGCAGCACACCACCAAAUAAACUUUGACCUAUUAGAUGACGCUGUCUGUAGCUGAGACCUGAUGCUUAACAGCUUUACAAAUAUCAUCAAUGUACAUUUCCUUUUUACACCAGAUUUUGUUUGGAGAAGAAACCACCUUUAAAUCCUUCCUUUCUUAGCAG